GACGAACACUGGCGGCGUGCUUAACACAUGCAAGUCGAACGGAAAGGCCCUGCUUUUGUGGGGUGCUCGAGUGGCGAACGGGUGAGUAACACGUGAGUAACCUGCCCUUGACUUUGGGAUAACUUCAGGAAACUGGGGCUAAUACCGGAUAGGAGCUCCUGCUGCAUGGUGGGGGUUGGAAAGUUUCGGCGGUUGGGGAUGGACUCGCGGCUUAUCAGCUUGUUGGUGGGGUAGUGGCUUACCAAGGCUUUGACGGGUAGCCGGCCUGAGAGGGUGACCGGCCACAUUGGGACUGAGAUACGGCCCAGACUCCUACGGGAGGCAGCAGUGGGGAAUAUUGCACAAUGGGCGGAAGCCUGAUGCAGCAACGCCGCGUGCGGGAUGACGGCCUUCGGGUUGUAAACCGCUUUCGCCUGUGACGAAGCGUGAGUGACGGUAGUGGGUAAAGAAGCACCGGCUAACUACGUG
Molecule: ribosomal RNA, 468 nt
Filed under: uncultured bacterium
Lineage: Bacteria
Description: partial 16S ribosomal RNA
Rfam family: Bacterial small subunit ribosomal RNA
Source: RNAcentral